Molecule: ribosomal RNA, 1340 nt
Filed under: metagenome
Description: bacterial LSU rRNA
Rfam family: Bacterial large subunit ribosomal RNA
Source: RNAcentral
UGAUGCAUACCGAACUGAAGUAGGGAAAUGUGUGAGCCAGCUGCCAAGAAAAGCCGCUAUUGUUUGUACUGUACCCGUACCGUAAACCGACACAGGUAGGUGAGGAGAGAAUCCUAAGGCCGACGGGAGAAGCAUUGUUAAGGAACUCGGCAAAAUGACUCCGUAACUUCGGGAGAAGGAGUGCCAGUGAGAGCUGGCCGCAGAGAAUUGGCCCAAGCAACUGUUUAGCAAAAACACAGGUCUAUGCAAAACCGUAAGGUGAAGUAUAUGGGCUGACGCCUGCCCGGUGCUGGAAGGUUAAGGGGAGAGGUUAGCGCAAGCGAAGCUUUGAACUUAAGCCCCAGUAAACGGCGGCCGUAACUAUAACGGUCCUAAGGUAGCGAAAUUCCUUGUCGGGUAAGUUCCGACCCGCACGAAAGGCGUAAUGAUUUGGGCACUGUCUCAACAAUGCACCCGGUGAAAUUGAAAUACCAGUGAAGAUGCUGGUUACCUGCGCCAGGACGGAAAGACCCCAUGGAGCUUUACUCCAGCUUGAUACUGGGAUUCGAUAUUGUAUGUACAGGAUAGGUGGGAGGCGAAGAAGCAUUGACGCCAGUUGAUGCGGAGCCGCUGUUGGGAUACCACCCUUGCAGUAUUGGAUUUCUAACCAGCAGCCGUGACCCGGCUGGGGGACAAUGUCAGGCGGGGAGUUUGACUGGGGCGGUCGCCUCCGAAAGGGUAUCGGAGGCGCUCAAAGGUUCCCUCAGAAUGGUUGGAAACCAUUCGAAGAGUGCAAAGGCAGAAGGGAGCUUGACUACGACACCGACGGGUGGAGCAGGUACGAAAGUAGGACUUAGUGAUCCGGUGGUAUAAAGUGGGAUUGCCAUCGCUCAACGGAUAAAAGCUACCCUGGGAUAACAGGCUUAUCACUCCCAAGAGUUCACAUCGACGGAGUGGUUUGGCACCUCGAUGUCGGCUCAUCGCAUCCUGGGGCUGAAGUAGGUCCCAAGGGUUGGGCUGUUCGCCCAUUAAAGCGGUACGCGAGCUGGGUUCAGAACGUCGUGAGACAGUUCGGUCCCUAUCCGGCGUGGGCGUAGGAUAUUUGAGAGGAGCUGGCCUUAGUACGAGAGGACCGGGCUGGACUGACCGCUGGUGUAUCUGUUGUUCCGCCAGGAGCAUGGCAGAGUAGCCAAGUCAGGAAGGGAUAAACGCUGAAGGCAUCUAAGCGUGAAGCCCCCCUCAAGAUGAGAUAUCCCAACGCAAGUUGUAAGACCCCUUGAAGACGACAAGGUAGAUAGGGCAGAGGUGGAAGUGCAGUAAUGCAUGGAGCUGACUGUUACUAAUCGGUCGAGGGCAUAACC